Molecule: non-coding RNA, 254 nt
Filed under: Lachnobacterium bovis
Lineage: Bacteria; Bacillati; Bacillota; Clostridia; Lachnospirales; Lachnospiraceae
Description: T-box sequence
Rfam family: T-box leader
About the family: Uncharged tRNA acts as the effector for transcription antitermination of genes in the T-box leader family. T-boxes are found upstream of many aminoacyl-tRNA synthetase genes and some amino acid biosynthetic genes usually in Gram-positive bacteria. The anticodon of a specific tRNA base pairs to a specifier sequence within the T-box motif, and the NCCA acceptor tail of the tRNA base pairs to a conserved bulge in the T-box antiterminator hairpin.
Source: RNAcentral
CUAAAAGCAGUAAUAAGGAACAAGUAAGUAAUUAUGAAUUCUACAGAAAAUUACCGGUUGAUGAGAGGUUUUAGAUAUAAUUAAUUACCGAAUACAUCCUUUAGCUUUGUACUGAACAAUUAUAAUUAAUUUAGUAGGCUACAACGGAUUAGUGCUCGUUAUUGCACUGAAGUGUUGAUUGACACUUGUUGAGACAUUCUUAGUGAUAAGAAUGUAAAAAAAGGUGGUACCGCGAAUUAUCUCUCGUCCUUUUA